Chelonia mydas (Green sea turtle) is the source of this 164-nucleotide long non-coding RNA. RefSeq lists it as uncharacterized. Lineage: Eukaryota; Metazoa; Chordata; Testudines; Cheloniidae. The record is from RefSeq and is a predicted model, not a curated record. The transcript is spliced from 3 exons.
UUUAGGAGCCCCAGUUUCUCUGUUAUUGGGGCAGGAAGAAUAAACUGCUGUUAUCCUGAUUAUGUGAAUCAAGGACAGUGGAACUGUACUUGGCAUUUUGUUAUGAUGGAGGGACUCGUCAUCAACUAAGCAGUACUUGCUAGGCAAGGGUCAUAGGUUACAAA